GAUGAACGCUGGCGGCGUGCUCAACACAUGCCAGUCGAACGGAAAGGCUCCUGCUUGCAGGGGUACUCGAGUGGCGAACGGGUGAGUAACACGUGGGUGAUCUGCCCUGCACUUCGGGAUAAGCCUGGGAAACUGGGUCUAAUACCGGAUAGGACCACAUUUUGGAUGGUGUGGUGGAAAGUUUUUCGGUGUGGGAUGAGCUCGCGGCCUAUCAGCUUGUUGGUGGGGUAAUGGCCUACCAAGGCGUCGACGGGUAGCCGGCCUGAGAGGGUGUACGGCCACAUUGGGACUGAGAUACGGCCCAGACUCCUACGGGAGGCAGCAGUGGGGAAUAUUGCACAAUGGGCGCAAGCCUGAUGCAGCGACGCCGCGUGGGGGAUGACGGCCUUCGGGUUGUAAACUCCUUUCGCUAGGGACGAAGCGCAAGUGACGGUACCUGGAGAAGAAGCACCGGCUAACUACGUG
RNAcentral lists this ribosomal RNA (465 nucleotides) under uncultured bacterium. Its description in RNAcentral is "partial 16S ribosomal RNA". It matches the Rfam family "Bacterial small subunit ribosomal RNA", at positions 28 to 507 of the family's 1533-position model. The record is from RNAcentral.